RNAcentral lists this ribosomal RNA (507 nucleotides) under Triticum aestivum (bread wheat). Its description in RNAcentral is "partial small subunit ribosomal RNA". The record is from RNAcentral. Lineage: Eukaryota; Viridiplantae; Streptophyta; Magnoliopsida; Poales; Poaceae.
AUGGCUUGGGAGCCGGUGAUCGGGAAGCUCAGCGUCCGCGUCGUCCGAGGCCACAACCUCAUCGUCGCCGACCCACUCACCCACACCAGCGACCCCUACGUCGUCCUCUACUACGGCUCCCAGGUGAAGACUAGCGUCCAGAAGAAAAAUGUCAAUCCUCUAUGGAAUGACGUAUUGGUGCUCCCUGUCACAGAUCUUACAAAGCCAGUCAAACUUGAGGUUUUUGACGCGGACACAUUCACGGCGGAUGACAGCAUGGGAGUGGCCGAGUUCAGCGUAACCGAUAUCUACGACGCCGCGAAGCUGGAUCUAAAGCAUGCCUCUGACGGAACCAGGAUCAAGACGAUCUACCCGGUCGGCACAAACUACCUUGGCGGUGAGAGCCACGUGUCGUGGAAGAAUGGCAAGGUCGUCCAGGACCUGAUUCUGAAGCUGAAGAAUGUCGACAGUGGCUCUGUCGUGCUGCAGCUGGAAUGGGUUCACGUCGUCCCUGGUGUUACGCUUUAA